UUUCACAUAUAAUUCAUAGUUGUCAUUAAAAACCAAACAGCCGUCCCUCGUGAGAUUAGCUCGAUUGGUAGGGCAUUACAUAAUAUAUGCAGUAGUCGAGGUUCAAACCCUAGACACCCACCUCAAAAAAUAUGAAUUUCUAGCCACUAAACUACUUGACAAAAAAAAAAACAGCCAAUUCAAUCUAAAUCUCAAUUAAUUUGAUUAGAUCAUAUUGUAUUUUAUUUAGGAGGCACAUCCAAAUCAAAUUGAACUGCAUACAAUUCUAAAUUUUAAAUCAUACGACUAUUUGCCUCAAAGCUGAUCCAAACUAAACUACAGGCUCCCAUAGUUCUAGGGAUUAUGGUAUGGAACUUCUAGCAUCUCCAUCGAAAUACAUUUAGAGCGUCUCCAAUGGAGAGUCCUAAUAAGUUCCUUAAAAUUAGCAACAUCCCUUAAUUGUUUUUCAAUGGAGCUUGAUGAUGGGGCAAGUUUGAUUUCUUAAUUUUAUGAAACAUCAAUGAUAGUUUACAUAACCCCUCAAAAAAAUAAUGAUAGUUUACAUAACCCCUCAAAAAAAUAAUGAUAGUUUACACAAAAAAGGAGUUCCUUAACUUAAAAUAAUUUUAUUUCAUACUAGUUAUACAUAAUCUACUGAAGUUGAUAGCUUGUUUGGAACCACGGCACAUUUCGCCUAAACUCGCGUCCCCCAAGAAGCUACAUAUUGUUGUUUCUGAAUUUUUCACGUUCAUAGUGCCUCGAGACGCGAAAAUCAAGAGGUAAACGUGCAUCCAAACACAUGCUAAAUCAAUUGAGUGGCUUGGCUCGAGUUGAUGGAUCUUCCUUCGACUCCACGCGGAUCAUAAACACGUAUCCUAAAAUCCACAGGAGAAUGUACUGAAAAGGAACCCAUGAAAUGCAUGCAACAAGACUCAUGAUGCUGCCGACAUACUGUGGAUCACUAAUGACCCCGAAAGGGAAUUCAGUUACCCAGGGAAUAGUUUUUCCAAAGCGUACACCAUAGUACGUGCCGGGUUCACCAAGCAGCUGAUAAACCCUGUCAUUUGACAAUAUGAUCAUUAUGAUUAGACAAAAUAUCAAAGCAAUACAGUUAAAAAUUAAGGCUCAACGAGAAUAUUCAGGCACAUCGAAACACUUUUGAAGAUACAAUAAUGGAGGAUGCUAUAUUUUCAUCAAAAAAUACAUCAAACACAUAAUUUCAUCAACGCACAUCACAGUUUCAUCAAAAUGAUGGUAUUCAUCUUGGUGAUUCUUCAUUUAUUAUUCUGGGAAAAUUAAUAAUCAAAACAUUACAUCAUUUAUUUGGAUACAUAAUUUGCAGAAUGAACUGCAUGUAGCAGCCUCUUGCUGGAAUACUUCCCAAACUAAAACAUACUAAUAUUCUGUUUUUAACUUUUGUAAAAUUACAUAUAAAAGUUAUGUUUUCUAGAGUGCUUUCUUGGUAAGAUUGUUUGGUAGUAAUAUACAAAGGAAAGGGGUAAGAGUAUUUUGGUCCUUAAAUUUGUCGGGCGCUACAUAUUUUGGCCCGACACAUAAUUUUGAAUGUAUCUUCUGUUAGUUGGCUUGGUCCAUCAUAUUACUAAUAGAAGAUAAACUCAAAAAUGUUUUUGUAAUUUCAAUAUAUAGGUACUACAGUAACACCGCCUGAUACACGUAAGAACGAAAAUGAGUGUUCACUCAAAAAAAGAAAGUAAAAACGUUCCUUC
This 1706-nucleotide long non-coding RNA is filed under the name Medicago truncatula (barrel medic). RNAcentral describes it as "lncRNA gene20245". Lineage: Eukaryota; Viridiplantae; Streptophyta; Magnoliopsida; Fabales; Fabaceae. The record is from RNAcentral.